Cricetulus griseus (Chinese hamster) is the source of this 468-nucleotide non-coding RNA. Lineage: Eukaryota; Metazoa; Chordata; Mammalia; Rodentia; Cricetidae. The record is from RefSeq and is a predicted model, not a curated record.
AUCAGACUAAGGACACUGGUAGGAAGAAGGGCAGAGUCAGAGGAGUUGCCAGCCAGACGCAGAGAGGAAACAGGAGGUGCAGGAUGAAAGAGAGGGGCCUGCCGAUUCCUUCCUUCCAGUGAUUUCUGAGGUUUCCUUGGUGAUGGCUCCAUAGACACUUGGCAGAUGUUUGCUGUGUACCAGGACUUAUGCUUGGGGACAAUUCUCAUCCUGCUUCCACUGACAAGGAGUGUCAUCAUCACUUCUGUGGUUGAUGCCUUCCUAAAAAGGCUGGCACAUCAGACAUUGCUGCCAUGUGCUGUGCUUCCAAACCCAGGGGUCCCCAUUGGUCCUGCGAUGCCAGUGCAUCCGCAGCACAGAUUUUGGAGAAUUCCUGCUUCCUUUGUCUUAAUUGCUACAGUUUGUCUCUGGGUUCUGGAAGGGUGUCCUCUUAGGAUGAGGUGUUAUUAAACUUUAGGAAAAAGCUCA